GGCCUACCAUGGUGGUAACGGGUAACGGGGAAUUAGGGUUCGAUUCCGGAGAGGGAGCCUGAGAAACGGCUACCACAUCCAAGGAAGGCAGCAGGCGCGCAAAUUACCCAAUCCCGACACGGGGAGGUAGUGACAAUAAAUAACAAUACGGGGCUCUUUCGGGUCUCGUAAUUGGAAUGAGUACAAUUUAAAUCCCUUAACGAGGAACAAUUGGAGGGCAAGUCUGGUGCCAGCAGCCGCGGUAAUUCCAGCUCCAAUAGCGUAUAUUAAAGUUGUUGCAGUUAAAAAGCUCGUAGUUGAAUUUCGGGAUUGACACAUCGGUCGUGCCUUAAGGGGUAUGAACUGGUGUAGUCAAUUUCUCACCUUCUGGAGAACCGCGAUGCCCUUAAUUGGGUGUCACGGGGAACCAGGACCUUUACUUUGAAAAAAUUAGAGUGUUUAAAGCAGGCAUUUUGCUUGAAUACAUUAGCAUGGGAUAAUAAAAUAGGACGGCAUGAUUCUAUUUUGUUGGUUUCUAGGAUCACCGUAAUGAUUAAUAGGGAUAGUUGGGGGCAUUAGUAUUCAAUUGUCAGAGGUGAAAUUCUUGGAUUUAUUGAAGACUAACUACUGCGAAAGCAUUUGCCAAGGAUGUUUUCAUUAAUCAAGAACGAAAGUUAGGGGAUCGAAGACGAUCAGAUACCGUCGUAGUCUUAACCAUAAACUAUGCCGACUAGGAAUCAGACGAUGUUAAUUUUUUAAUGACUCGUUUGGCACCUUACGGGAAACCAAAGUGUUUGGGUUC
RNAcentral lists this ribosomal RNA (781 nucleotides) under uncultured Glomus. RNAcentral describes it as "SSU rRNA". It matches the Rfam family "Eukaryotic small subunit ribosomal RNA", at positions 338 to 1114 of the family's 1831-position model. The record is from RNAcentral. Lineage: Eukaryota; Fungi; Glomeromycota; Glomeromycetes; Glomerales; Glomeraceae.